GACGAACGCUGGCGGCGUGCUUAACACAUGCAAGUCGAACGGAAAGGCCCUGCUUUUGUGGGGUGCUCGAGUGGCGAACAGGUGAGUAACACGUGAGUAACCUGCCCUUGACUUUGGGAUAACUUCAGGAAACUGGGGCUAAUACCGGAUAGGAGCUCCUGCUGCAUGGUGGGGGUUGGAAAGUUUCGGCGGUUGGGGAUGGACUCGCGGCUUAUCAGCUUGUUGGUGGGGUAGUGGCUUACCAAGGCUUUGACGGGUAGCCGGCCUGAGAGGGUGACCGGCCACAUUGGGACUGAGAUACGGCCCAGACUCCUACGGGAGGCAGCAGUGGGGAAUAUUGCACAAUGGGCGGAAGCCUGAUGCAGCAACGCCGCGUGCGGGAUGACGGCCUUCGGGUUGUAAACCGCUUUCGCCUGUGUCGAAGCGUGAGUGACGGUAAUGGGUAAAGAAGCACCGGCUAACUACGUG
RNAcentral lists this ribosomal RNA (468 nucleotides) under uncultured bacterium. RNAcentral describes it as "partial 16S ribosomal RNA". It matches the Rfam family "Bacterial small subunit ribosomal RNA", at positions 28 to 507 of the family's 1533-position model. The record is from RNAcentral.